GAUGAAGAACGCAGCGAAAUGCGAUACGUAAUGUGAAUUGCAGAAUUCAGUGAAUCAUCGAAUCUUUGAACGCAUAUUGCGCUCUCUGGUAUUCCGGAGAGCAUGCUUGUUUGAGUAUCAGUAAACACCUCAACUCCCUUUUCUUUUUUGAAAUGGGAGCUGGACUUGAGUGAUCCCAACACUUUUCUCACUGGAAAGUGGCGGGUCACUUGAAAUGUAGGUGCAGCUGGACUUUUCUCUGAGCUAUAAGCAUAUCUAUUUAGUCUGCCUAAAAAACAGAUUAUUACCUUUGCUGCAGCUAACAUAAAGGAGAUGAGUUCUUGUGCUGACUGAUGCAGGAUUCACAGAGACAGCUUUGCGGCUGACUUUGUAAACUCGAUCUCAAAUCAAGUAAGACUACCCGCUGAACUUAAGCAUAUCAAUAAGCGGAGGA
Molecule: unclassified non-coding RNA, 433 nt
Filed under: soil metagenome
Description: partial contains 5.8S ribosomal RNA, internal transcribed spacer 2, and large subunit ribosomal RNA
Rfam family: 5.8S ribosomal RNA (bases 1-120)
Source: RNAcentral